GGAUAUGCCCAUUGGUCAGGCUUAACUGUCUGCACUGGUGUGACGAGUUCCUACCUUCUGAGGAAUCUCCAUGUCAUUCAGUUGGUGUGGGGGGAAAUCAGGACUGUUACUUUGAAAAAAUUAGAGUGUUUAAAGCAGGCAUCCGUCUGAAUACAUUAGCAUGGAAUAAUAAAAUAGGACGGUUUGGUUCUAUUUUGUUGGUUUCUAGGAUCACCGUA
RNAcentral lists this ribosomal RNA (218 nucleotides) under uncultured Diversispora. RNAcentral's name for it is "partial small subunit ribosomal RNA". The stretch from base 93 to 218 matches the Rfam family "Eukaryotic small subunit ribosomal RNA", at positions 738 to 864 of the family's 1831-position model. Lineage: Eukaryota; Fungi; Glomeromycota; Glomeromycetes; Diversisporales; Diversisporaceae. The record is from RNAcentral.